CGGGUUGUAAACCUUCUUUCGCCAGGGACGAAGCGCAAAGUGACGGUACCUGGAUAAGAAGCACCGGCUAAACUACGUGCCAGCAGCCGCGGUAAUACGUAGGGUGCAAGCGUUGUCCGGAAUUAUUGGGCGUAAAAGAGCUCGUAGGCGGUUUGUCGCGUCGUUUCGUGAAAAUCCACGCUUAACGUGGAGCGUGCGGGCGAUACGGGCAGACUUGAGUUCGGUAGGGGAGACUGGAAUUCCUGGUGUAGCGGUGAAAUGCGCAGAUAUCAGGAGGAACACCGGUGGCGAAGGCGGGUCUCUGGGCCGAUACUGACGCUGAGGAGCGAAAGCGUGGGGAGCGAACAGGAUUAGAUACCCUGGUAGUCCACGCUGUAAACGUUGGGCGCUAGGUGUGGGCGACAUCCACGUUGUCCGUGCCGUAGCUAACGCAUUAAGCGCCCCGCCUGGGGAGUACGGCCGCAAGGCUAAAACUCAAAGGAAUUGACGGGGGCCCGCACAAGCGGCGGAACAUGUGGAUUAAUUCGAUGCAACGCGAAAAACCUUACCUGGGCUUGACAUGCGCCAGACAUCCCUAGAAAUAGGGCUUCCCUUGUGGUUGGUGUAACAGGUGGUGCAUGGCUGUCGUCAGCUCGUGUCGUGAAAUUUUGGGUUAAUUCCCGCAACGAGCGCAANCCCUUAUCCUACCUUUGCCAGCGCGUUAUUGCGGGAACUCGUGGGAAACUUGCCGGGGUUAACUCCGAAGGAAGGUGGGAAUGAAGUCAAGUCAUCAUGCCCCUUAU
RNAcentral lists this ribosomal RNA (782 nucleotides) under Amycolatopsis sp. Its description in RNAcentral is "bacterial SSU rRNA". It matches the Rfam family "Bacterial small subunit ribosomal RNA", at positions 419 to 1205 of the family's 1533-position model. The record is from RNAcentral. Lineage: Bacteria; Bacillati; Actinomycetota; Actinomycetes; Pseudonocardiales; Pseudonocardiaceae.